CACGCCUAACACAUGCAAGUCGAGCGAGGUAGCAAUACCUAGCGGCAGACGGGUGAGUAACAUGUGGGAAUCUGCCUUUUGGUUCGGAAUAACACGAGGAAACUUGUGCUAAUACCGGGUAAGCCUUUACAGGGAAAGUUUUAAUGCCAAAAGAUGAGCCCGCAUUUGAUUAGCUAGUUGGUGAGGUAAAAGCUCACCAAGGCGAUAAUCAAUAGCUGAUUUGAGAGAAUGAUCAGCCACACUGGGACUGAGACACGGCCCAAACUCC
Molecule: ribosomal RNA, 268 nt
Filed under: uncultured bacterium
Lineage: Bacteria
Description: partial 16S ribosomal RNA
Rfam family: Bacterial small subunit ribosomal RNA
Source: RNAcentral